GCAGGUGUAGUUCAAUGGUAGAACCCUAGCCUUCCAAGCUAGCUACGUGGGUUCGAUUCCCACUACCUGCUCCA
Molecule: transfer RNA, 74 nt
Filed under: Clostridiales bacterium
Lineage: Bacteria; Bacillati; Bacillota; Clostridia; Eubacteriales
Also listed under: 3 other names
Description: tRNA-Gly
Rfam family: tRNA
About the family: Transfer RNA (tRNA) molecules are approximately 80 nucleotides in length.
Source: RNAcentral